This 559-nucleotide ribosomal RNA is filed under the name uncultured bacterium. RNAcentral describes it as "bacterial SSU rRNA". It matches the Rfam family "Bacterial small subunit ribosomal RNA", at positions 338 to 916 of the family's 1533-position model. The record is from RNAcentral.
CCUACGGAGGCAGCAGUGGGGAAUAUUGGACAAUGGGCGAAAGCCUGAUCCAGCAAUGCCGCGUGAGUGAUGAAGGCCUUCGGGUCGUAAAGCUCUUUUACCAGGGAUGAUAAUGACAGUACCUGGAGAAUAAGCUCCGGCUAACUCCGUGCCAGCAGCCGCGGUAAUACGGAGGGAGCUAGCGUUGUUCGGAAUUACUGGGCGUAAAGAGUACGUAGGCGGUUAUUCAAGUCAGAGGUGAAAGCCCGGGGCUCAACCCCGGAACUGCCUUUGAAACUAGAUAACUAGAGUCUUGGAGAGGUUAGUGGAAUUCCGAGUGUAGAGGUGAAAUUCGUAGAUAUUCGGAAGAACACCAGUGGCGAAGGCGACUAACUGGACAAGUACUGACGCUGAGGUACGAAAGCGUGGGGAGCAAACAGGAUUAGAUACCCUGGUAGUCCACGCCGUAAACGAUGAUAACUAGUUGUUCGGUCACUUGGUGACUGAGUGACGCAGCUAACGCAUUAAGUUAUCCGCCUGGGGAGUACGGUCGCAAGAUUAAACUCAAAGGAAUUGACGG